Coturnix japonica (Japanese quail) is the source of this 389-nucleotide long non-coding RNA. RefSeq lists it as uncharacterized. Lineage: Eukaryota; Metazoa; Chordata; Aves; Galliformes; Phasianidae. The record is from RefSeq and is a predicted model, not a curated record.
GAAAACAGCAACUGCCAGAGUGGAUGAGGUAAUGAGGCAACUGCUGUGACUACGCAGAGUUUCAGCCCAGGAAAAAGCCAUUCUUCGAAUCAUAGAAUCACAGUAUCACAUAAUCAUAGAGGUUGGAAGAAACCUCUAUCAAGUCCAACUCUUUGCUAAUGCAUGUUCACUACAGUUGGAUACACACGAAAGCAUCCAGCUAAAGAGAUUCUAGAAAAUAGAUCUCCCAGCUUCCCUCUUUGAAAAACCAAUGACAAUAAAUCUUGCUAUCCUCCUAACUAUGACUGAUGAAACAGGCAAUUCAACAUCCCGAGAGAAUAACAUGUAAUAGUCAGGUGGGUAUGCAGUUAAAUCAGUACUGAAAUAUAGUGCACACUUCUGUAGGUGGG